RNAcentral lists this ribosomal RNA (477 nucleotides) under uncultured organism. Its description in RNAcentral is "partial 16S ribosomal RNA". It matches the Rfam family "Bacterial small subunit ribosomal RNA", at positions 333 to 801 of the family's 1533-position model. The record is from RNAcentral.
ACACUCCUGCGGGAGGCAGCAGUGGGGAAUUUUGGACAAUGGGGGCAACCCUGAUCCAGCAAUGCCGCGUGAGUGAAGAAGGCCUUCGGGUUGUAAAGCUCUUUUGUCAGGGAAGAAACGGUGGUGGCGAAUAACUACUACUAAUGACGGUACCUGAAGAAUAAGCACCGGCUAACUACGUGCCAGCAGCCGCGGUAAUACGUAGGGUGCAAGCGUUAAGCGGAAUUACUGGGCGUAAAGCGUGCGCAGGCGGUUGUGUAAGUCAGAUGUGAAAUCCCCGGGCUCAACCUGGGAAUUGCAUUUGAGACUGCACGGCUAGAGUGUGUCAGAGGGGGGUAGAAUUCCACGUGUAGCAGUGAAAUGCGUAGAUAUGUGGAGGAAUACCGAUGGCGAAGGCAGCCCCCUGGGAUAACACUGACGCUCAUGCACGAAAGCGUGGGGAGCAAACAGGAUUAGAUACCCCUGUAGUCCCAUGAU